Molecule: long non-coding RNA, 1807 nt
Filed under: Homo sapiens (human)
Lineage: Eukaryota; Metazoa; Chordata; Mammalia; Primates; Hominidae
Description: HSALNT0075901
Source: RNAcentral
UGGAGACUGACUGGCCAUUAAACACAAAAUGAUGACUGGUGCAGCAGGUGCAGUGAAGUGGGAAGGUGUGGAGCAAAUAAAAAAGUCCAUGGCAUCCGUAAGAAAUGCUGACCCCCAGGAAAUUUUAAAAGGUUAUGUGCACUGUGGUAUUCAUGACGUAUGUGUGAGAGCUCCUGGGGACAACAGCUAAAUUUCCCACCACACCACAUCCUGAGAGGAUCCAUAAAGAAGAAAUGGAUGUCAUUAGGAAAAAAGACUUCAUCAGGCACUUCCCCUAGGAGGUAGCAGGUCAGAUUUUGGCUAAAACUCAUAUCUUCACCAUAGACAAAUGGUAUGCACAAUGGGUUAAAAAUAUCUGGGGAAGGAUAUGAGGAGGGCUUCUUCUUUCUCAAUCUUUAAAGUGAGUUCGAUGUGGCAUGGAAUGAUCAUCUUUGUCUCACUCCACCCCUCACUCACUCCUUUCAUGUAGUACAAAUUGUCCAGCUUUGGAAAAUUUUGGAUGAGAUUUUUGAAUGAGAAAUGCAUAGUUCAGCCCACUUUCCACCCACUUCAUCUUCGGUGUUAACUGCCAGAAGGAGGCCUGUCAUUCUGUUCUGCCCAUCCAUAUUAUAAAUUUUACAGGGCAGCUCCCAUAAGAUGGAACUGAUAUAGUCUGGUGUUGAAUGUGAAUGGGCACAGAAUCUAUUUCUGGUGUUUAGUGUUAGAAUGUCUUCUUGCUCACAGGUAUAUGCUACAUUUUUCAAUAUCAGCUUCACCAGCAAUAGAGUAAUCUUUCAUUUGCCCAUUUUUUAAAAAAAUCUGUUUUUCAACUGGCCUGAUUUUGAGUGAAGACAAUUAUAAUUGAACGUUUUUCCCUAAAAUCCUAAGGCUACAAUUACAUUUACAAAAGUGUAACUGAAUGUUUUCCCCUAAAAUACUAAGGCUACUUAAGGGUAUUUUAUUUCUUAACUAAAAAAAAAAAAAUGUCAGGACAAUUUGUCACUUCUCAGAGCAUCUCACUGAGCACAAUAGAAAAGAAAAAGAUCGCCUAUAUGAUUGUUAUAGUCAAAAGCACACUUUAACUAGAAAAUAUAAAUAUUCUCAAUUUGAGGAAAUGGCCAAUGAUUUAAGAAUAUCCUUAAAUGACUAAUUAACAUAUGGUGGAAAGUAUUUCAGCAAUGCUUAAGGUAUUUUUAACUCUAACUUCUAGCUGUGGGACUGUUUUAGCUUCAUGAAGCAGCCAUAGCUACAUUUAAUUCAUUCACUAUGUCACAGAAUGUUUAUUAUCCACAUAUGCAGCCCAUUCUGAUGUCUAAUAAAACAUGGGCUCUUGUAGCAUCCCUGCUCAUACUUGGUGAACACUAUUCCUCAAAACACUCCUGACAUCUCUGGUUCAGGAAGCAGAGGAAAGACUUGCUUCCCAGGAAGUGGAUUUGAUUUCACUCAGUUUCUCUCCAAACACAGAAAAAGGUAUCGUGUAGCUCACGUUCAUUGGUUCAUGUAGAAAUGAACCAAUACUCUAAGCAUAAUAGUAUUUCCAUUUUGGAAAACUUUAGCCUAGAGAGAAGAUUAUGGGGUAUAUGUUACCUGUCUUAAAGUAUUUUGAAGAAUUUGUGAAGAGCAUAUUCUCGUUCCAAGUUGUUCUGGAAGGCAAAAUAUGACUAAAUGGGUGUAAAUCACAAGCUGGAAUAUUUUGGUUUGGAAAAAAAAAAAAAAACAGAAACAACUUUCUAACAAUUACAGCUAAACUGCCAAGAAAUAAACUACCUUUUGUAAUAGUAAACUGCUCUGAGUUAUCUCAUGCUGAUGUCCUCCAAAUGAUUCACAC